Molecule: long non-coding RNA, 9971 nt
Filed under: Salmo salar (Atlantic salmon)
Lineage: Eukaryota; Metazoa; Chordata; Actinopteri; Salmoniformes; Salmonidae
Description: lncRNA (ENSSSAG00000103384.1)
Source: RNAcentral
CCCCUAAUCUGCACUGGAUACUUUUUUGCCAAGCAGGCAUUAUGAAUAAUUACAUUAUGAGUAAAGUGUUUGACAUCACUGUUGACCUCAAUGGCAAAAACGCUAAUUACAGACUUGAAUGCUAUCUGUGACUUUUCUCACCAAACUUCCGCUUAUCACUUUGAAUCUGUAACAUGUGAAAUGAAUUGAGUCAACAGGAAGCGGGGUGUAGAUCAUGUUUUUUUUCCAAACUGCCGUCUGAGGGGACUGAGCAAUGGAGGAUGGAGGCAGGGCCAUGUCAUACCACAUCAUCAUACCACAUCCUGCCUCACCCUCCAACCUGCACCUUAUGGCUCUGUUGGCGUGGUAAUCAAAACGGACCGUUUCCUCUUGUCAACUUCGAAUGGGUGGCUUCUGGUUCGAGGUAUCCCAUGGGGCCAUAGGGCAGGGUGCGAUAAUGAGUGUUGCUGCAGAAGAGGAAAUUACGAGUAAAGGGGAAGAGGCAGUGAGAUGAGAAAGCUGGACAAUUAGACAUGAUGAGAUUGACUCUGAUUUCCCUCGCCAUGUGCCUUCCUCACCUCCUCGCCACUCUUGUCUUCCAUUCUACCACUGCGGCUUCACCAAGCGCCACAGAAACAACAACAACAGCUCUAGACCUUAGUAUCAGCACUACAACAUCAGACCCCCUGAUAAUUCCACUCUCCACAACUGAAAACCACCCUGGUAGGACUAGUGGCAUGUUCAACACACAAGUGAAGAAAAGCGCUAGCUUAGCAGCUGUCAACAACUCAGGCAGAACGACUCAAGGAAGAGGCAUUCUCAGAACAGGAACUGCCACUUACGCCACCACAGCUGUACAGAAGAGCAACAGGCACAUAACUGCAGGAGACUUGAGGAGGGAAACAGAGAGCCACAAUCACCAUGAGACUCUUCCCUUCAGCAGACACACAGCCUCACCCACAACUGACCACCCCAGCACCACCUCUCUCCCCGGGGAGGAAGGGACUGAGUAUCAUGACAGCAGCACCACUGAAACAGCCAGAGAACUGAGCACACCAAAUUCCAUAGAGACAUGGGCUGCUGACACCAUUAAUGACUCCAGGCUAGCGAAGCCACACUUAGACAGGUCACAAGCAGCAGACCAGCACCCUGCUACACAAGGACUAGAGAUUGCAUCAGGAGAUUACUACACAACACAGAGAGACUUCUUCACAAUCACCCCAACUAGUAGAGUGACAGGUUUGAACAGAGGUAAACAAAGUAAGGCCAACAGCGUCACAACAACAACAACAACGGUUUCACCUACGUACACAGUCACACGUCCUGGUUUGUAUGAGCACAUGACUGUGACUUACUGGGCUACCGGCUACAAAACACAACCUGACGACACAAGCCAGUCUAUGGACAACCAGGACCACGCCACCAUUUCAAUCCCCCAUGCUGACAAUAGGACAACUCCAUAUAUCAAUGCAAACACGUUUACAGAUAAUGACACAGACAACGACACAAACACACUUUCACACAGUAAUACCACAACCUCUAAUAAUCGUAACACAACAGUACUUUUGAAGGAGAAAACUCAUUCAUUCAGACACAACCACACAAUCUCAGGUUAUGACAACAGGCUGAACAACACAACUGAAAACACUGUGCAUGAUCGUCCUGAGUGCGGAGAGGCAGAUGAAAGGUCCCUGUCGUUGCUUCCUGGCUCUUCUAGACUGGUCUGUUUCAUUGUUCUGUGGGCUCUGGGAUUGACUGCUUCGGUCUUCCUCGGUCUCACUGUCUUCCUGUGGGUGCGUUUGUCAGUCCAGAGAGAGAGGGGAAGGAGAGUGAGGAGAGGAGGAGAGAAUGUGUCAGGGGUGGAUCUGGAGAACCUGUGGGUCGACCAGAUGUCGUCGGUGGAGGAAAGGGUUGAAUUCUGGUACACCAACGGCUCCACCAUGGGACCCGACCAUAAACGGAGGGAGAGAGAGAGAGAGAGGGUGAAGGAGAGGGGGAGGAGGGAGCAGGGGAGGCAGAAAGGGAUAGAGUGUGACAACCUGUGGACUCAACCCAAAGUGACACUGGAGGACAUCACUGAUUUCUGGUAUGCAAAUGGAAGAGCGAUACCAGAAGAAACUACAGACCAAACGCUGUUGGAGACCUGCGUAUGAUUCUGUUUUUUGUACUACAGUACUACAAUUUACCUGGAAUUACUUUGGAGAGAAAUGUUCAUCAUUAUUUUACCAAUUCCAUGGCAGAUUUGAACACUGUAAUCCUGACCAAGUUUAAACAUUUCCAAAAUGAAUUGAUAAUCUGUAUGUUUAUUGGCUGUAACAAAAGUAUAAGUAUGUGAUCUACAUAAGUCUACGGAAAGAUAGAUUAAGGCUGGGUCUGAUCAGAGAGAAAGAAGAGGACAGAGAGAGAGGAAUAGAGAGAGAGAUCAGAACAAUGUCUAACUGGAAAUAACACUUGAUAAGAGAGUUCCCAUUUUAAGACAAUUCAGACCUUGUUAGAGACACAUCAUCAUCGUGUGUCAGACAGCAACGAGGAGAUAGGUGCCAUUUCUACAAACACACUGACACAAAUACGGUUGACUCCUAAUACUGUACAUGCACUGUUAUUAGGAGCUAGUCAAAUAAAAAGGACUGCACUGGGCGUAAACAACUUAGUUUCAUUUACCUGACUGACCAUGUUUACACGCGCACAGCAUUCCAGAUAAUAGCUCAUAACCUAGUUAAGGUCUUAUUCGAGAUAAGCUGUUAAAAUACAUCUUUGAUAUCCCGCUUACGAGUAUCCCUGUAUAAACAGAAUAUUCCUAAAUUUACCCAUGAUACUAUGCAAAACUGAGCUUGUACAAACAAUGUAAAACAACAGUAAACGGAAUAAUAUAUUUGUAUGACACAGUAUCCCGUCUACAAUCAGCAUAUCCCAGGCAUUUUAACUGGGUUUCUCAUAACCGGGACACAAGCUUAUUCGGGUUAUUGUAAACGGGAUAUGAUGCUAAUAUGCGGCAACUAAAAAACGGAAUACUAGAAUAUCCCAAAUAGUAACGGAAUAUCGGUGUGCCUGUGAACAUGGUGACCUAUCAGGAAUUGACUAUAGGUCUACCUCACAAUUGAUAGUGGAUCGGCCAUUUGAUCAAUAAUGUAUAACUGUAAAUACAGUAGAAAAUAUACCCUUGUAGAAUUUAACACCUAACCAGCUGAAGUUUGACAUAUAAUGUCCCAAGACAUGAGAUUUUUUUUUUUUAUUACAUUAUAAAACAGAAUUUUCAUCAUACUCUCUCUACUUUGAAUUCUCAUGUUUUGACAACCUAUGCCCUUUGACUGCCUGCUCCCCACACACACGCACACACACCGUCAAACAAACACACAUCCAAGUAGGCCUGUGUGUACGUGUGCAAACACACUCUGGCUCAAACAUUUCAACACACACACACAGCUUCUUCUCUUUGUAGGACCAACUUCUCCUUUUUCAUCAAGAAAAUAAGCACAUGACGCAAUAAACAAAAUGAAGCUACUCUUAAGUUAUUUGGCACCUCUCUAACCCCACCACUUUCGCAGUUAACAAAACUGUUUUACGAAGAAUUUGAUACUCUGAGGGGAAGAGAUAGAGAGAACCAACUAGAGAGAGAAAGGGAGGGGAGAGAAAGAAGGGAGUGAACAGGAGGGAGGGAGGGAGGGAGCGAGCGAGCGAGAAAGGUGUUUUGGACAUGUACUAGUGCACGAGAUGUCAUUCACACAGUACAGGAGUUAAAGCAUGUGCCUUUAAGGUGGAUUCAUAAUUUCAAUCCAAUCGUUUUCUCCAAGCAACAUGUGGGUCUCGUGCUUUUUUUGGUUCACCGUUGCUGCAAUCUCUCACGCUACACUUGAAAUAGACAGCUGAUACAGAAAAGUAAAGUGAAGUGCAGGGGAGUAGGAGGAAAGCUGAAGUGCGCGAGAGGAAGAGAAGGGUUGUGUCUUUCCGGUCUAUUUGCACCUAAAUACACCCUAGUGAACAACAAGCCCAGCAACCAGGAGAGACAGCAAGAGAACACAAGUUUGACUAUGUAAGUGCACUUCAUAUGCCUAACACUCAGUCAAACCUUUGUUAAUAAUCUAAGGCAUGGCCUGAAAGAAAGGGAAAUUCCGAGAGCAGUGAAGAUCAAAGCCUGACACACAAUCGUUGUCAAACCAAGAACCCCGGUACCUGAUGACGGAUACCGCUUUUCUUUUCUAGAAUGUACAUUUUUCUGCUCUAGACUUGUAAAACAAACCUCCAAUACCUUUCAAGCCACAACGCUGUCGCUGAUGCACCUCAGAAAGAGGAAGACAAACGUAAUCUGAGAGAUCAGCAAAACCCUUCAGGGACGGUUGACCUCUGUGACCCCUCUCACUUCUUGCCCAGUAUGGAGCGGAUACAGCUGAUGCUUGGGGCUCUGCUCCUCUCCCUCUCUCUGCCCAGUCUCCCUGCCCAAGAUAAUGUCACCGUCACUGUACCUGAGAAUGUCACCAUGGCAGCACCUAUUAAUGAGGAAGUCACGAUGGCAGCCUCUACACCGGAGGCCACCAUAGAGACAACGCCUGCUCCUGUGGUCAUCACUAGGGCACAGCCUGCCCCUGAAAUCAUCACCCCGGUAACUGCUAUUCCGAAAGUAACUUCUGUUUUAGUACGUACCACUGAUGCCAUCACUAUGGUAAUAACAAACCCUGAGAUCACCAUCGUUCAGGAGUCCACCUCUGAUGCACCAACUACUACUUCAGAGGUUGAAACGAUGACACCUUCCCCUGUGACCACUGAAGGGCCUAUAGAUACGACCAAUCCACCUGGUCCUAAACCCACCCUCUCCCAAGACGUCCUUAUGACCGCCUCUUAUCUCCCAACCCCUUCCCAGGACCACCUGACAUUUGUUAUCCCAGUCUGGCCCCUCCAAACCACCCCUCAUCUGACGGAGGACUCCACUUACACACCUGAACCUACACCUGCCUCAGAGAUUACUGCCUACCACACAGAGGGACUUACCACUGCACCCACCUCCCCAUUGGUCAAUCCCCCUCCCGGCCAUGCCACGACCCCCGCUACCACCCACACCUCCACAGAUCCAGACUCUACGGUGGCUGGGGUCAGGGUGAAGACAGGUCAGCCCAGCUUGUUAUGGGUCAUCAUCGUUGCUCUCCUGAUCGUGGUUAUAUUCGCGGGCGGGUUCUACUGUGUUUGUCUGGUCAUCAGACGAAAGAGGCAGAGCCACACCGAGUACUUUGUGUCCAGCUUCCGGAACGGGAAGAGUUCCAAGCGGAAGAAAGGGGCGGAGGAAGACGCCUGGGCAGGGCCAGUGAAGCUAGGGCGUGGGGAUGGGGAGGAGGAUGAGGGUGGGGAGGAGGGAGGGAGCCCAGAGGACAACAAGAGAGAGGGGGCUGGAACGGAUGUGGUGCUGAGCACAUUCAUAGCCAACGAGACUGAGGGAGAGAGGGGUGGGCCUGAUGGGGGAGUAGGAGUGGCUGGGAGCAAGGAGGCAGAGAAAUGGGAGGAGAAGGAGCCUCUGCUGUACAUUGAUGAGGGAGUGGAGGAGGGGCAAGAGAGGAUGGCUCUUCCUUCACUUUCAAAAUCGAACUGAGAAAAGACAGGAGGGGAAAAAAGAGAGGGGGAAAGUGAAAAAGAAAUGGAGAGGGGAGAAGGGAAUGGAAAGAAAGAAAAUUAGAGUGAGAGGUAAGAAGAAUGGAGGAGCGGCAUUCUGUCUAACCACUGCAGUUUAAAAAUAGAAGAGUUUUCCAUAAAAAGAUUUUCUAGGUGAUAAUGUAAAAGUUAAAAAUAUUUUUGUACUACUGAAAAGGCCUUUGACAUUGUAUGUAUCUGUGAUUGUGUGCUCUGUCAACAUAACUCAGGGAAGAUAGGAGUGGUUGUGUGCAUGGUCAUAAGUUUUACCCUUGGUAUUUUGUAUGCUGUUUUGUCUUAAUGUUUUUUUGUUAAAUAAAGUUUUAGAUGUGCAGAGUGCAUGUUCUAGAAUGAAGUUGUUGAACGUGGCAGAAUAUUAAUACUUUUUGCUUAACAAUUUGCGGUCUUCAAAUGCACUUUAUUUAUGGAACUGCUUAAAUCAAUAGCAAUCAAUUCAUAGGUGCAAAUCUGAACUUCCACUGAGACAAAUAGUCACUUAGUCUCCCAUUGACAUCAUGACUAAGUGAAUAUUCAACUUCAGUGGAAGUUGGGAUUUGUCCCAUAGAAAAGGCUUUGUUUACUUGAUUUGAUAUGGGGUUCCCGAGUGGCGCAGCGGUCUAAGGCACUGCAUCUCAGUGCUAGAGGCGUCACUACAAACACCCUGAUUUGAAUCCAGGCUGUAUCACAACCGGCUAUGAUUGGGAGUCCCAUAGGGUGGUGCACAAUUGGCCCAGCAUUGUCCGAGUUUGGCCGGUGUAGGCUGUGAUUGUAAAUAAGAAUUUGUUCUUAAUUGACUUGCCUGGUUAAAUAAAAAAAACAUACGUGUUGCUGAUUAUGGCCACUAGGUUGUGCCCUUUCCCCAUCUUUAUGAUCAGAGCACAGUUCAAUGUGACCUGCAGUAAAGAGCGGUGUUGUGAUGACGCACAGGUCUUCUAUUCUACUGGUCUGUUUUUUCUGAAGUUGCAUCUGUUGCAAACGUCUAGCAGAGAAAACAGCAGAGAUCAAAAACAGUUGUUCAGGCAAACAACUCAGUCAUAGAACCCCUCUGAUGUGAUGUGAUCACAAAUUAAACUUAAAGCCACAACAACCGCUUUUAGUAAGAUUGAUCCUUGGUAAAUAGAAAAUGUUAUCCUGGCCACUACACCACCUCAACCUUCGUCAACUAUUAUUUCAGGAAGGGGAGUAAGUAUGUGUGUGGGUUGGGGGAGGGGGGUGCGUACAACAGAAUCAGAGGAAAUAGAAGAGAAACAAAUCUGCAACUCUGUCAAAUAAAUGCCUUAAUGUCUCUCUGCUCUGCUCUGCUGAAUAGGAUAAUCUGACAGAGAAUAAUGUUUGUUUAGAGAGAGAGAAGGAGAGAGGUAGAGAGUGUGAAAGGGAGGAGGGAGAGAGAUGUGGUGAGUAAGGGGAUGGAGGUGUGGAGGAAGAAGGGGCGCUGGAGGAGCGACGGCAAAAAUACUGAGGAGAGGAGAGAGCAAGAGAGAAAAGAGAGCGGCCAACAACACAGUCACAUCUGGAAGUUAUUGAGAAGUAGAGAGAGCGAGGGAGAGAGAAAGAGAGAGAACUAUUGUGAAUUGAAAAGAGGGAGAAAGGAUAAACAAACUCUAGAUGUAGGGAUAGAUAGAUUUAUUAAAUGUAUCAACUGAGUUAAAGAUUUACGGGAGGACAGAGUUUAUCUAAAAGUUGACAAGAAUUCUACAGUGGACAGAGAGAAAGGAACAGAGGAAACAAAGAGAGAGCGCAAGAAACUGUAAUUCUAUCCUAAGAACAAUCCAUACCAAGAGGGGAGGACGACAAAGAGGGAAAAUUAAUGUAGCUUUCUAAUCUGGAGGACCGUCUAAAACAGAACAAAGUGGACUGAAUCAAAACUUAUGUUAUUGAGUUGAAAUUAAAUCAACUCAACAAAGGAGAAGAGUCCAGAGACCAAAAGAGGAGUCCCUUAGUCUGGAAUUCUUCUACGCAUUUGUCUUCCUAUCAGGGCCUGUGGAGUCAACCAUCAGACAGGAUGUCAGCCUCUCGGAGGUGCCUGUGCUGCGUGAAAUACCUCAUGUUCGUCUUCAACCUCAUCUUCUGGCUGGGAGGGUGUGGCCUGUUUGGAGUGGGAGUGUGGCUAUCAUUCACCCAGUCCGAGUUCUCCUCCCUCCCGCUGUCUUUUCCCUCACUCUCUGCAGCAAACCUACUUCUGGUCGCUGGGGGCGUCACCAUGGUGACAGGCUUCCUGGGUUGCCUUGGCGCCCUGAAGGAGCAGCGCUGCCUGCUGAUGACGUUCUUUGUAAUUCUUUUGAUCCUGGUGUUGACAGAGGUGACUCUAACCCUGGUCCUCCAUAUCUUUCACAACGAGUUCAAGUGCUGCGGCGUGACCAACAAAACAGAUUGGUACCUCGUGAUCAACGGAACGCUCCCCUUUUCCUGCUGCUCCAGUGGGAUGGACCAAUGUGUUGAAGGAUGGAUCGAGCCGUGUUAUCAGAAGGCCAGACAGUGGCUCCUGGACAACAUCCUCUCUGUCCUGGUGUUUGGAGUCUGCAUUGGCAUUGUCCAGAUCCUGGCUCUGAUUUUCUCCCUGCUGAUGUACUGCCAGAUCCUCCGUGCUGAGAAGUACUUGGACUGAUCUGGGACUGGUCCUUCACAGACAGGAGAGGCUGAAUGAGAGACUCCCUAGCUGGCGCAGAGUUCAUCUAACGUUUCUUUCAAGUUUUGCUUCGGUUAUUUUAAAAAUAACUUCUCCACACCGCGGUGGGAACUAAAAAAAAGUGUUGGCUGGGUCCUGAAUGUUAUAUACCUGCUGCUGGGGAUGGUUUUUCAGAACAUUAGAUCCAGAUCAAAAUCAUCCUUUUUGCAUGUUCAAUUCUGUUUAAGUUUAAUAAAAUAUAUUUGAAUGAGAACACAUCACACAUUUGAAGGGUUAUUUUCCUCUGGAUUGAUGGUUCUUAGAACACUGCACUAAAAACCAUGGUGCACAUUCCAGGUCGUCUUCAUUGCGGUCAUGUUGCUCAGAUCUCACAACGCCUGGCAAAGUGUAAUUCAUUUGGCUUUGAGAGAUCUGAUCAUCUGGAAUACAGCCCUUUACUUAUCAUGUUUACGGAAGGACAUUAUUUGUAACUAUUGGGGACUACGUGCUACUUGUCACUUUCACUAUUAGCCGAUGAUAUUGUUUAGUAGUGAAAAUAUAAAGUGCUAACUCUGAUGUCCAUGAACAAGCAGUGAGAUUUGCCCCAAAGAAACACUUACAGUAUUCUGUUCAACUGCAGCAUAUUUUAAGCAGAAGUCUAAACUAUACGUUUUAAAGUGAGCCUUACCAAAGCAAAUAAAAUGUAAAUACAUUGUAAUUUGUAUGCAUGUGAAGUGGUAGUUGUUUUGUGAACUUGAGCAUUUUGUAAAAUACACACAUGUAUGACUCUGAUUGUGAAUGCGGUAAUAGUUCAAACAACUUGUUUUCCAUAUUGUGCGUAUGAGGUGUUGUCGGUAUGAAUUCACUUCUCUUAUAGUUGAGACGAGCCUAUGCUUUCAUAUACUUAUUCCGUCCAAUAGACAACUGAAGAGGUAAUUGACUUGCAAUAGGGUUCGUCAUUCUAAUGAAAUAUAUAUCACAUAUAAUUAUAAAUGGACUAUGAAAGUAUGCUAUUUAAUUAUGAUCUGCAGUCAUAACACCAAGUAAUGAAACCCAAACCAAACCGAUGACUACACUGUACAGUUCUUUGUAAAACAUGUCUAUAGAAAAACUUUGAUAAAAAAAUUAUUGUAUAAGUACACAUGAUUUUCAGACAAAUACAAUUGUGACAAUUCACGUGUCGUAGUGUUAUAAAAAGAUAAUGCCUUCUCCGUCUCUCAUCACAGGAGAGACUGAGGUCAUAGGAAGGGCCCUGAGUUCUACCUGACCUGAUCGGAAACAACUCCAGGCCUUAGUCCUAGAUUAGAGUUCAUACAGUAUUCCUGUGUUCACCAUUCAAAGGAAGUAGUGAGGAUUUCCCGAGCUGCCUUGACGGUGUAGGGUUGUCAGUCGUACUCCAAAAUCUCUAGCAAACUGAACGAUACUUUCCUGCAGAUGGAAAAUGGGAGGUGUGGGAUUAGAUUUUGAGGGAAAAUCAGAACCAGAUGCCUGAUGUGGUCAGUGACUUCUGCCUCCUGGUGGUUGUGUUUGGAAACAACCUUUAAACAGACAGGGGGCGCCAAUGUCCACAUUUACAUUUUUUAAAAGAGGGGUUAUCUUACAAUGUCACGAAAACGAUGCGCAAGCUUCAAUGGGGCAAAAAUCCGUGUGUUGUUGCGAUUCUGGAUGGCCAGAAGGCUAGCAACAAUGACAAGAUGCCAUGUGGGGAAUUGUAAGUGGCUCGUUUCAGCUAGUUUUAUCUUGUUCUUGAUACCAUACCAUGUCUUGUUUUGAG